GAGCGUCGGUGGCGUCUGCGAGACCCGGCGACGCGAGUGGCGGCUGAAGGGGCUGGCAUUCCUCGCGUAUUCUCUUUACCAGAACAGAAACAUGGUUUUUGCGAGCAAAAUCAUCUGAAGAACACAGCCCCAUGCUGUAGCUGCUUGGCUGCAUACACUCAUUGGGGAAGAAGUCAAGAGCAGUCAGCCCACGCUUCCAGACUGGCUCUCAAGGAGCCCAGAGUCACUGAGAUUUGGGAUUAUUUGCAUUUGAAAGCUACUUCUCAGGAUACAGUUCAGUGGAUAAUGGAAUAUUAGCAAAUGUCACAUGUGUUGUUUUUGGUUUUGUUUUUUCUUUAUUAUUAUUUAAGAGACAUUUUUAUUACUUAAGGGAUGCCUACAAUUGCUGAUUUAGUGUCUGUGUGAAAAGCUGUGUUGUCUGGACUCCUGUAUUUGCAAACAGAGCAGAUAGUAGAAGUGUAAGCACUUCUUGCAUGGCACCGUAGCUGUGACCUGGAUUGACCCCAUGAAUGGCAAGCAGGGUGAGCAGUAUCAAACUUGGAAGCUCUCUCCUGUUAUCACUGGUGUGUUAACCCAGCAAAACUGCUUAACUUCACUGCCAUGUAGUUCCAUCUGUAAUGUAAACAUCUGUCUACUGACUAACUGCACUGGAAGCACUGUUUCAUUUUGUGUAGGCUACUGAACAUCUGUCAGAUGGGAAUAACUUUGGUUAUCACAGGUCUUAGCCAACAUCCUAACGCAGGAGGUUCUGGAUGCCUUUAUCCUUGACUGACUUUCUUGGUUUUGGACUAGAUCCUUCUGUGCUGUACAUUUCCAGUUUUUUAAUAGGCUUUUAAAUAACCCCCAAGAGGAUACUGGAUGUUAUUCCCCUUCAGAGCUCACGUAGGUUAGAUGGAAGUGUUGAAUUCAUUGGAUCACUAUGGGUCUGUUCCUUUCUUCUGUGCAUCACCUAUCCAUUAGUAUAUCUUCUCUAAGAAACUAUGUUAAAUUAGUUUUGACAGGAUGAGUUGUGCUGUACAAGGCUGUGCCUUGAAAUCAUACAGAUAUAAAAAGAAGAUUCCCAUAACAGCAUUUCAAGCAACUGUGAUGUCAGCUGAGCCAGAUCUCUGAGAAUAGUUUUCUGUCAGCAUGGGUGUGCAGUAGACUAAGAGUGAGCAUACCUGAGUAACAAAAUGUACCAUAAACCUGAACAUGCUUGGUUUGGAAAAGGAAUCCUCUUCAUGUACAUUAGUAUGCAUUUAGCAAGCAAAAACCGUGUUGAGCACUCACCAGACUUACUGAAGUCAAAUGGGAAUUUCAAGCCACUUGAAGGUUUGAAGCCUGCAAAAGCAGGCUGUGGCAUACGUGUGGAGGAUCCUUGUAACGUCCAUUCUGAGGUUAAGGAAACAGCCUCACUGAAGAGAGGCUCAUUCAAAUGGUUAGGUUUCAAAACCUUUGAAAUUUGGGAUUUAUUUGGCUGAAUACUCCAGCAGUCGUCUUUAAGUAUUCUGUGACUCAUGCAGUCUGUCUGACCUUCUUAGGCUGUGGAGAGGAGCAGUGAGAGCAGGUUCACUUAUGACAAAGCUUCCUGUUUUGCCUUGAACAGAAGGUGUCUAGAAAAGUCUUUUUCAUGAUGUUCUGCUGAUCCUAGCUGAUUUCAGUGACUGGGCUGAAACAGGAGAGAAAGCACUGGUUGUGGUAUGGUGGUCUUGCCAAACCUUUUCAGCCUCCAAGGAAGGUUUAUUUUGGCAGCGCUAAGCUUUUUGGGUUGCUUUUCGUUUGGAGAGGGUGAUGGGAAAGAUGCUCCACCUCAGACAUUGAAAUACAAAUAUUUGACUUUUACACAACUGAAAUGGCUCUGGGUAGGCAUGGAAUAAGUGACAAAAAACGAGCUUUUACCAAACCUGUGGAGUUCAUUUGAACUUUGCCAGGUGUUUGGCUGUAAGAAUGUGAGGUCCCGUAUUUAACAGCUCAUAUACUUUGCCAAUAAUAUGUGAAGUGUUUCAUUAUCUUGUACACUGUAGUUGGCACACAUCAGUUUGCAGACAAAGAGUAAUGGCUUAUGGUAUUUGUGGAUUCCAUGUGUUGUUUUAGCCAUGAAAUGAUGUGGGUGUAUGAUAAGACAAAUAUAUAUGAAUAAAAGCACUCAUGUAUUAAGUAUC
Gallus gallus (chicken) is the source of this 2141-nucleotide long non-coding RNA. The record is from Ensembl. NCBI's taxonomy places the organism in Eukaryota, Metazoa, Chordata, Aves, Galliformes, Phasianidae.